Molecule: non-coding RNA, 1435 nt
Organism: Paralichthys olivaceus (Japanese flounder)
Lineage: Eukaryota; Metazoa; Chordata; Actinopteri; Pleuronectiformes; Paralichthyidae
Source: RefSeq, a predicted model, not a curated record
AGAAGACAGAGUCAUCUCAACAAAAUGGUGUAGAAGCGACAGAGAACUGGAGGGAGAAGUCUGCUGAAAUACAGGAACCUGAGCUGAAGCGCACACCUCCCAGACCCUCAUCAUCCACUUCUCAGGGAAAGAACAGGGAAGAAAAGGCAAGUUUACCCACCUCACAACGUAAUCACAUGACAUCACCACGACCAGGUCGAGUGAAGAUGCAUUCACUGUUUUAAUGAAUUGUUCUAACUGGUUAACCCACAGAAUGUCCCAUCAAACACAGCAGAACAGAAACACCAUGAGGACAACUAGUGAAUGAGGAGCACGGAGGAUUCAAGGUCACGUCAGCAUAACGCCCCCUGAACCACAGCAGAUAACCAGGCAAUGACUGCUUCUACAGGACCUAUGCAGCUGAAUGAAUGUUAUAGUUGGUAGUUCUUAAACUGUGGUGAUGAGCCCAGUAACAAUAAUUUAUGUUGUUUUGUUUUAGAAAACUCAAAGACAAGAAUGUGACUUUGCUCAGACAUAAUUAGAACAAACGCAACAGGAAGUGGAGACAAUAUCAGAAACUCUUGUACAAUACAUUUGCAAAUGAUCAAACAGUGAAAUCAUAGACUGUAAAUAACGAUGGAUGUCACAUCUCUAUUUCUUCCUACUAUCCACAAAUGAAGCUAUGAACGCUGCCAUCUUGUGCAUUUGAAGGCAGAAUGUGUAGUUGUGAUUGGAGGAUAGAGGUAGGAAGGUCCAACUCAACCAGCUGUCAGCCAUGUUGUUUUUAUAGCAUCAAAUAACUAUUUAAAACCAAACUUACCAUUAUAACGUGCACUCGAACUGUAAUGAUAGAAACCAUCUAACAUAUUUCAGUAUUUCGAUAGUUUUUUUUUUCCGGAUGCCAGAUUUUUGACCUGUACUCCAGCCAGCCACCAGGUGGCGAUUGAGACGCUUUGGCUUUACUUCAGAGGAGCAGUCAUGUCGUCCCUCUUCAUAUUCAGUUAUUUUAUUAUCAUGUAACUAUCUGACUUUAUGUUUUGAUCUAAUCUUAAAUAAUGAAUUAAAUUGUCGUCUCCAGAGCCACAUUAUUCUCAUGGCUCAUAAAAAAGUUAACAUCAUAAACUUCACCUGGGUUGUAUUUGUUGCAGGGAUUCAAUUUGAUUGCAUUAUAUUGUAGAGAGUAAAUGAUAUUGUGUCCACAAUGUUUUACAGGGAUAAUUCUGAUGCAGAUGUGAGUAGAUGGCAUUCAUUUACGAUGUGUACAUAAGAAACAAUAUUUUGUGACAUUUGAAGUCUAACUGUGUCUGAUUUGUGAAGAACAAACAUGAAAAUGAUGUUUUGCUAACUUUUUUUUAAAAUUCAGCUAAAUGACAAGCUGAGUAGAUGCAACAAAGUCAUCUGUACAGUGCUCUGUGUCAAUUUAAAAACACUGUGAAAAUAAAAACAUAUUAAGAUA